ACUGAACGCUGGCGGCAUGCCUUACACAUGCAAGUCGAACGGUAACAGGUCUUCGGAUGCUGACGAGUGGCGAACGGGUGAGUAAUACAUCGGAACGUGCCUAGUAGUGGGGGAUAACUACUCGAAAGAGUGGCUAAUACCGCAUGAGAUCUACGGAUGAAAGCAGGGGAUCGCAAGACCUUGUGCUACUAGAGCGGCCGAUGGCAGAUUAGGUAGUUGGUGGGAUAAAAGCUUACCAAGCCGACGAUCUGUAGCUGGUCUGAGAGGACGAUCAGCCACACUGGGACUGAGACACGGGCCAGACUCCUACGGGAGGCAGCAGUGGGGAAUUUUGGACAAUGGGCGCAAGCCUGAUCCAGCAAUGCCGCGUGCAGGAUGAAGGCCUUCGGGUUGUAAACUGCUUUUGUACGGAACGAAAAGCCCUGGGUUAAUACCCUGGGGUCAUGACGGUACCGUAAGAAUAAGCACCGGCUAACUACGUGCCAGCAGCCGCCGUAA
RNAcentral lists this ribosomal RNA (498 nucleotides) under uncultured bacterium. RNAcentral's name for it is "partial 16S ribosomal RNA". It matches the Rfam family "Bacterial small subunit ribosomal RNA", at positions 30 to 523 of the family's 1533-position model. The record is from RNAcentral.